CGGGUGAGUAAUACAUCGGAACGUGUCCUGUAGUGGGGGAUAGCCCGGCGAAAGCCGGAUUAAUACCGCAUACGAUCUACGGAAGAAAGCGGGGGAUCUUGGGACCUCGCGCUAUAGGGGCGGCCGAUGGCAGAUUAGCUAGUUGGUGGGGUAAAGGCCUACCAAGGCGACGAUCUGUAGCUGGUCUGAGAGGACGACCAGCCACACUGGGACUGAGACACGGCCCAGACUCCUACGGGAGGCAGCAGUGGGGAAUUUUGGACAAUGGGGGAAACCCUGAUCCAGCAAUGCCGCGUGUGUGAAGAAGGCCUUCGGGUUGUAAAGCACUUUUGUCCGGAAAGAAAACUUCCUGGUUAAUACCUGUGGAGGAUGACGGUACCGGAAGAAUAAGCACCGGCUAACUACGUGCCAGCAGCCGCGGUAAUACGUAGGGUGCGAGCGUUAAUCGGAAUUACUGGGCGUAAAGCGUGCGCAGGCGGUUCGUUAAGACAGAUGUGAAAUCCCCGGGCUUAACCUGGGAACUGCAUUUGUGACUGGCGAGCUAGAGUAUGGCAGAGGGGGGUAGAAUUCCACGUGUAGCAGUGAAAUGCGUAGAGAUGUGGAGGAAUACCGAUGGCGAAGGCAGCCCCCUGGGCCAAUACUGACGCUCAUGUACGAAAGCGUGGGGAGCAAACAGGAUUAGAUACCCUGGUAGUCCACGCCCUAAACGAUGUCAACUAGUUGUUGGGGAUUCGUUUCCUUGUAACGUAGCUAACGCGUGAAGUUGACCGCCUGGGGAGUACGGUCGCAAGAUUAAAACUCAAAGGAAUUGACGGGGACCCGCACAAGCGGUGGAUGAUGUGGAUUAAUUCGAUGCAACGCGAAAAACCUUACCUACCCUUGACAUGGUCGGAACCCUGCUGAAAGGUGGGGGUGCUCGAAAGAGAACCGAUACACAGGUGCUGCAUGGCUGUCGUCAGUUCGUGUCGUGAGAUGUUGGGUUAAGUCCCGCAACGAGCGCAACCCUUGUCCUUAGUUGCUACGCAAGAGCACUCGAAGGAGACUGCCGGUGACAAACCGGAGGAAGGUGGGGAUGACGUCAAGUCCUCAUGGCCCUUAUGGGUAGGGCUUCACACGUCAUACAAUGGUCGGAACAGAGGGCUGCCAACCCGUGAGGGGGAGCUAAUCCCAGAAAACCGAUCGUAGUCCGGAUCGUAGUCUGCAACUCGACUGCGUGAAGCUGGAAUCGCUAGUAAUCGCGGAUCAGCGUGCCGCGGUGAAUACGUUCCCGGGUCUUGUACACACCGCCCGUCACACCAUGGGAGUGGGUUUUACCAGAAGUGGCUAGCCUAACCGCAAGGAGGACGGUCACCACGGUAGGAUUCAUGACUGGGGUGAAGUCGUAACAAGGUAGCCGUAUCGGAAGGUGCGGCUGGAUCACCUCCUUUCUCGAGCUCAACGUUUUAAAGUGAGGUGCUAAAGUGCUCACGCUUAUCGGCUGUAAGAAGACAGGCUAAGGGUCUGUAGCUCAGUUGGUUAGAGCGCCGUCUUGAUAAGGCGGGGGGCGUUGGUUCGAAUCCAACCAGACCCACCAUGAUUCGCACGUCAGGGGAUUAAUGAAUGUUAAUCGCCCAAGCGGUGAAAUCUACGGACCCUUCAGCAUCGAAGUACUGGGGGGGGAUUAGCUCAGCUGGGAGAGCACCUGCUUUGCAAGCAGGGGGUCGUCGGUUCGAUCCCGUCAUCCUCCACCAAUCAUCAAUGCACAGCACUCUUAAACGAAUAGUUUAAGUAAAGAGUGAUGCGCAUUGGAGUGAUGCGCAUUGGCGAUUGAGCCAGUCAGUAAGUCGUUUAAGGCAAGGCACUUUAAGUGAUGCUGUCGUUCUUUAACAAUCUGGAAGAAGUAGUAAAGGUCAUUUGAAAGCGCUUAGAGAUGGGCGUGAUUAGGAUGAUUAGGGUUGUGAUUGUAUCAAUGUAUGAAAAGGUGAUCGAAAGAUUGCUUUGGAAUACGGUGCAACACGAAUACUCAACCUAUGGCGUGGCGAAAGAGUUUCCACAGAUGCUGAGCUUCGGUUCGGUGUAGGUGGGAUGCUCGGAGACGCACUCGUUAUAGGGUCAAGCGAACAAGUGCAUGUGGUGGAUGCCUUGGCGAUCACAGGCGAUGAAGGACGCGGUAGCCUGCGAAAAGCGACGGGGAGCUGGCAAACGAGCUUCGAUCCGUCGAUGUCCGAAUGGGGAAACCCGGCCCUUCUGGGUCAUCCUGAGCUGAAUACAUAGGCUCAGUGAAGCGAACGCGGUGAACUGAAACAUCUAAGUAACCGCAGGAAAAGAAAUCAACCGAGAUUCCCAAAGUAGUGGCGAGCGAAAUGGGAUCAGCCUGUACUCUUUAUCACGACCGUUAGCCGAACACUCUGGAAAGUGUGGCCAUAGCAGGUGAUAGCCCUGUAGGCGAAAGCGGAUGUGUGGAACUAGGUGUACGAACAAGUAGGGCGGGACACGUGAAAUCCUGUCUGAAGAUGGGGGGACCAUCCUCCAAGGCUAAAUACUCGUGAUCGACCGAUAGUGAACCAGUACCGUGAGGGAAAGGCGAAAAGAACCCCGGGAGGGGAGUGAAAUAGAUCCUGAAACCGCAUGCAUACAAACAGUCGGAGCCUCGCAAGGGGUGACGGCGUACCUUUUGUAUAAUGGGUCAGCGACUUACGUUCAGUAGCAAGCUUAACUGAUUAAGGCAGGCGUAGCGAAAGCGAGUCCGAAUAGGGCGUUCAGUUGCUGGGCGUAGACCCGAAACCAAGUGAUCUAUCCAUGGCCAGGUUGAAGGUGCGGUAACACGUACUGAAGGACCGAACCCACUAAUGUUGAAAAAUUAGGGGAU
This 2848-nucleotide ribosomal RNA is filed under the name uncultured bacterium. Its description in RNAcentral is "partial contains 16S ribosomal RNA, 16S-23S ribosomal RNA intergenic spacer, and 23S ribosomal RNA". The stretch from base 1 to 1427 matches the Rfam family "Bacterial small subunit ribosomal RNA". The record is from RNAcentral.